AAGAGACGUUGCCCUUCGGGGUAUACCUCCCACCCUUUGUUUAUUAUACCUUUGUUGCUUUGGCGGGCCCGUCCUCGGACCACCGGCUUCUGCUGGUCAGUGCCCGCCAAAGGACCUAAAACUCUGUUUGUUAAUAUUGUCUGAGUACUAUAUAAUAGUUA
RNAcentral lists this unclassified non-coding RNA (161 nucleotides) under soil metagenome. RNAcentral describes it as "partial internal transcribed spacer 1". The record is from RNAcentral.